Long non-coding RNA from Raphanus sativus (radish), 358 nucleotides. RefSeq lists it as uncharacterized. The record is from RefSeq and is a predicted model, not a curated record. The transcript is spliced from 2 exons. NCBI's taxonomy places the organism in Eukaryota, Viridiplantae, Streptophyta, Magnoliopsida, Brassicales, Brassicaceae.
CAUCUAACUAGGGUUUUCAUGGGUAUAUAUUUGCAGUGACGCUUCACUUCUUUUCUUGUCACCGUCACCGUAAAUCCGGCGAUUAGGGUUUUGAGGAAAAGCAUUUCUCCGCCAUGAGAGCCAAGUGGAAGAAGAAGCGUAUGAGGAGGCUGAAGAGGAAGAGACGAAAGAUGAGACAGCGAUCUAAGUAGAGAGAAAGUCUUCGCCUUUCAAUCUGCAUUUCUGUUUCUGUUACCUUCCCUAAGUACUUUUGUUUGAUCUUGUUUCAGUUUUAUGUUUUGUUGGCUUCGGCUUGUCGGAUUUGUAUUGAUCCUUCAUAAAUGUUAAACCUUUAUCUAUCUAAUCACAUUUUCACCAA